RNAcentral lists this non-coding RNA (23 nucleotides) under Arabidopsis thaliana (thale cress). The record is from RNAcentral. Lineage: Eukaryota; Viridiplantae; Streptophyta; Magnoliopsida; Brassicales; Brassicaceae.
GUGUUUGGGCCGAAUUGGGCAUA